This 995-nucleotide ribosomal RNA is filed under the name uncultured bacterium. RNAcentral describes it as "bacterial SSU rRNA". It matches the Rfam family "Bacterial small subunit ribosomal RNA", at positions 355 to 1375 of the family's 1533-position model. The record is from RNAcentral.
UGGGGAAUAUUGCACAAUGGGGGAAACCCUGAUGCAGCGACGCCGCGUGAGUGAUGAAGUAUUUCGGUAUGUAAAACUCUAUCAGCAGGGAAGAUAAUGACGGUACUCAACAAGGAAGUGACGGCUAACUACGUGCCAGCAGCCGCGGUAAAACGUAGGUCACAAGCGUUGUCCGGAAUUACUGGGUGUAAAGGGAGCGCAGGCGGGAAGACAAGUUGGAAGUGAAAUCUAUGGGCUCAACCCAUAAACUGCUUUCAAAACUGUUUUUCUUGAGUAGUGCAGAGGUAGGCGGAAUUCCCGGUGUAGCGGUGGAAUGCGUAGAUAUCGGGAGGAACACCAGUGGCGAAGGCGGCCUACUGGGCACCAACUGACGCUGAGGCUCGAAAGUGUGGGUAGCAAACAGGAUUAGAUACCCUGGUAGUCCACACCGUAAACGAUGAUUACUAGGUGUUGGAGGAUUGACCCCUUCAGUGCCGCAGUUAACACAAUAAGUAAUCCACCUGGGGAGUACGACCGCAAGGUUGAAACUCAAAGGAAUUGACGGGGGCCCGCACAAGCAGUGGAGUAUGUGGUUUAAUUCGACGCAACGCGAAGAACCUUACCAAGUCUUGACAUCCUGCGACGAUGCUGGAAACAGUAUUUUCCUUCGGGACGCAGAGACAGGUGGUGCAUGGUUGUCGUCAGCUCGUGUCGUGAGAUGUUGGGUUAAGUCCCGCAACGAGCGCAACCCUUACUGUCAGUUACUACGCAAGAGGACUCUGGCAGGACUGCCGUUGACAAAACGGAGGAAGGUGGGGAUGACGUCAAAUCAUCAUGCCCUUUAUGACUUGGGCUACACACGUACUACAAUGGCGUUAAACAAAGAGAAGCAAGACCGCGAGGUGGAGCAAAACUCAGAAACAACGUCCCAGUUCGGACUGCAGGCUGCAACUCGCCUGCACGAAGUCGGAAUUGCUAGUAAUCGUGGAUCAGCAUGCCACGGUGAAUACGUUCCC